RNAcentral lists this ribosomal RNA (271 nucleotides) under uncultured bacterium. RNAcentral describes it as "partial 16S ribosomal RNA". It matches the Rfam family "Bacterial small subunit ribosomal RNA", at positions 793 to 1055 of the family's 1533-position model. The record is from RNAcentral.
GUCCACGCCCUAAACGAUGGACACUCAGUGUGGGAGGGAUCGACCCCUUCCGUGCCGCACCUAACGGAUUAAGUGUCCCGCCUGGGGGAGUACGGCCGCAAGGUUGAAACUCAAAGGAAUUGACGGGGGCCCGCACAAGUGGUGGAGCAUGUGGUUCAAUUCGACGCAACGCGAAGAACCUUACCUGGGUUUGACAUGACGGUAGUAGUGAACCGAAAGGGGAACGAGCCCCGCAAGGGGGAGGCCGUCACAGGUGCUGCAUGGCUGUCGU